AAAACUAUAGUAUAAUUUUUAUUAUAUCCCAUUGUCAAUGGGGAGAAUGUGGUUUUA
Molecule: transfer RNA, 57 nt
Filed under: Toxascaris leonina
Lineage: Eukaryota; Metazoa; Nematoda; Chromadorea; Rhabditida; Ascarididae
Description: tRNA-Asp
Source: RNAcentral